CCUACGGGAGGCAGCAGUGGGGAAUAUUGGACAAUGGGGGCAACCCUGAUCCAGCCAUGCCGCGUGUGUGAAGAAGGCCCUCGGGUUGUAAAGCACUUUCAGUGAGGAAGAACGCCUGGUGGUUAAUACCCAUCAGGAAAGACAUCACUCACAGAAGAAGCACCGGCUAACUCCGUGCCAGCAGCCGCGGUAAUACGGAGGGUGCGAGCGUUAAUCGGAAUUACUGGGCGUAAAGCGCGCGUAGGUGGCUUGAUAAGCCGGUUGUGAAAGCCCCGGGCUCAACCUGGGAACGGCAUCCGGAACUGUCAAGCUAGAGUGCAGGAGAGGAAGGUAGAAUUCCCGGUGUAGCGGUGAAAUGCGUAGAGAUCGGGAGGAAUGCCAGUGGCGAAGGCGGCCUUCUGGACUGACACUGACACUGAGGUGCGAAAGCGUGGGUAGCAAACAGGAUUAGAUACCCUUGUAGUC
Molecule: ribosomal RNA, 465 nt
Filed under: Vreelandella stevensii
Lineage: Bacteria; Pseudomonadati; Pseudomonadota; Gammaproteobacteria; Oceanospirillales; Halomonadaceae
Description: partial 16S ribosomal RNA
Rfam family: Bacterial small subunit ribosomal RNA
Source: RNAcentral